UGCAGUCGANNGAUGAAGCCCUUCGGGGUGGAUUAGUGGCGAACGGGUGAGUAACACGUGGGCAAUCUGCCCUGCACUCUGGGACAAGCCCUGGAAACGGGGUCUAAUACCGGAUAACACCUUCUCUCGCAUGGGAGGGGGUUGAAAGCUCCGGCGGUGCAGGAUGAGCCCGCGGCCUAUCAGCUUGUUGGUGAGGUAGAAGCUCACCAAGGCGACGACGGGUAGCCGGCCUGAGAGGGCGACCGGCCACACUGGGACUGAGACACGGCCCAGACUCCUACGGGAGGCAGCAGUGGGGAAUAUUGCACAAUGGGCGAAAGCCUGAUGCAGCGACGCCGCGUGAGGGAUGACGGCCUUCGGGUUGUAAACCUCUUUCAGCAGGGAAGAAGCGAAAGUGACGGUACCUGCAGAAGAAGCGCCGGCUAACUACGUGCCAGCAGCCGCGGUAAUACGUAGGGCGCAAGCGUUGUCCGGAAUUAUUGGGCGUAAAGAGCUCGUAGGCGGCUUGUCACGUCGGUUGUGAAAGCCCGGGGCUUAACCCCGGGUCUGCAGUCGAUACGGGCAGGCUAGAGUGUGGUAGGGGAGAUCGGAAUUCCUGGUGUAGCGGUGAAAUGCGCAGAUAUCAGGAGGAACACCGGUGGCGAAGGCGGAUCUCUGGGCCAUUACUGACGCUGAGGAGCGAAAGCGUGGGGAGCGAACAGGAUUAGAUACCCUGGUAGUCCACGCCGUAANCGGUGGGAACUAGGUGUUGGCGACAUUCCACGUCGUCGGUGCCGCAGCUAACGCAUUAAGUUCCCCGCCUGGGGAGUACGGCCGCAAGGCUAAANCUCAAAGGAAUUGACGGGGGCCCGCACAAGCAGCGGAGCAUGUGGCUUAAUUCGACGCAACGCGAAGAACCUUACCAAGGCUUGACAUAUACCGGAAAGCAUCANAANUGGUGCCCCCCUUNUGGUCGGNNNACAGGUGGUGCAUGGNUNUCGUCAGCUC
RNAcentral lists this ribosomal RNA (987 nucleotides) under Streptomyces sp. RNAcentral's name for it is "bacterial SSU rRNA". It matches the Rfam family "Bacterial small subunit ribosomal RNA", at positions 56 to 1061 of the family's 1533-position model. Lineage: Bacteria; Bacillati; Actinomycetota; Actinomycetes; Kitasatosporales; Streptomycetaceae. The record is from RNAcentral.